AGGGGUUUGGAUCCUGGCUCAGGACGAACGCUGGCGGCGUGCCUAAUACAUGCAAGUCGAGCGAGUCUGCCUUGAAGAUCGGAGUGCUUGCACUCUGUGAAACAAGAUACAGGCUAGCAGCGGACGGGUGAGUAACACGUGGGUAACCUGCCCAAGAGAUCGGGAUAACACCUGGAAACAGAUGCUAAUACCGGAUAACAACAGAUGAUGCCUAUCAACUGUUUAAAAGAUGGUUCUGCUAUCACUCUUGGAUGGACCUGCGGUGCAUUAGCUAGUUGGUAGGGUAACGGCCUACCAAGGCGAUGAUGCAUAGCCGAGUUGAGAGACUGAUCGGCCACAUUGGGACUGAGACACGGCCCAAACUCCUACGGGAGGCAGCAGUAGGGAAUCUUCCACAAUGGACGCAAGUCUGAUGGAGCAACGCCGCGUGAGUGAAGAAGGGUUUCGGCUCGUAAAGCUCUGUUGUUGGUGAAGAAGGACAGGGGUAGUAACUGACCUUUGUUUGACGGUAAUCAAUUAGAAAGUCACGGCUAACUACGUGCCAGCAGCCGCGGUAAUACGUAGGUGGCAGGCGUUGUCCGGAUUUAUUGGGCGUAAAGCGAGUGCAGGCGGCUCGAUAAGUCUGAUGUGAAAGCCUUCGGCUCAACCGGAGAAUUGCAUCAGAAACUGUCGAGCUUGAGUACAGAAGAGGAGAGUGGAANUCCAUGUGUAGCGGUGAAAUGCGUAGAUAUAUGGAAGAACACCGGUGGCGAAGGCGGCCCUCUGG
Molecule: ribosomal RNA, 766 nt
Filed under: uncultured Bacillota bacterium
Lineage: Bacteria; Bacillati; Bacillota
Description: bacterial SSU rRNA
Rfam family: Bacterial small subunit ribosomal RNA
Source: RNAcentral